Molecule: ribosomal RNA, 149 nt
Filed under: Holosporales bacterium
Lineage: Bacteria; Pseudomonadati; Pseudomonadota; Alphaproteobacteria; Holosporales
Description: partial 23S ribosomal RNA
Rfam family: Bacterial large subunit ribosomal RNA
Source: RNAcentral
UAACCGCUGAAAGCAUCUAAGCGGGAAACUCUCCUCAAAACAAGUAUUCCCUAUAGAGCCGUGGAAGACGACCACGUUGAUAGGUGGAGUGUGUAAGCACAGUAAUGUGUUCAGCUAAUCCAUACUAAUAGCUCAAUUGGCUUGAUUCU